UACAGAGGUCCCGAGCGUUGUUCGGAUUCAUUGGGCGUAAAGGGUGCGUAGGCGGCUUUCUAAGUUUGAUGUGAAAUCCUGGGGCUCAACCCUGGAACUGCAUUGAAUACUGGGAGGCUAGAGAACUGGAGAGGAGACUGGAAUUUACGGUGUAGCAGUGAAAUGCGUAGAGAUCGUAAGGAAGACCAGUGGCGAAGGCGAGUCUCUGGACAGUUACUGACGCUGAGGCACGAAGGCCAGGGGAGCAAACGGG
RNAcentral lists this ribosomal RNA (253 nucleotides) under uncultured bacterium. RNAcentral's name for it is "partial 16S ribosomal RNA". It matches the Rfam family "Bacterial small subunit ribosomal RNA", at positions 524 to 776 of the family's 1533-position model. The record is from RNAcentral.